UAUAUUUUUUUUCAAACCCACUACCAACAGAACGCUGAGAUCUCGAGGUGCUACAGUCCUACAGCAGCCCGCCCCUUUCCUGGCCGUCCGAUGCGCGCCUCCUUCCUGAUCGCAGUUGUCCGUCCGAGGGCGUCGCCCUCCUGCCCACCCAAGCCACAGGCCAAGCGGCGAAUCACCCCCAUCGCCGCCUCGUUCCUCCCCUCGACGCCUCGCCCGAUGCCUCCUUCCCAGCGCCGCCCCGCGUCGCCGUGCUCUACCUCCCACCAGAGCCCACCUCGCCGUCGGGCGAGAGCUCCGGCGGGAAACCUUGCUGUGCCACCCGCAGUUCGAAGCAGCAGCGGUGCUAGGGCUCUGGCGUCCUCGCUACCUCCCUUGAGCCCCGUCGCCUACCUUGAGGCCGGUCUGCUGAUCUGGAGCGACGAGGAGGUGGAUCAGGUCGACUCCUCCGCUUGCCCUUAACCACGACAUUGCCUCCGAUCAGAUAUCAUAUCCCAGCAGUUCAACCACCAUGACCAGUCCGGCAAUCCUUCCCGCUCCCUCUGAUAAGUCUUUUCUUCUUUCCCUAUCUCUAUUUCUCUCAUCUUUUUCUGUUUUCGUGUUCAAUUUCUUGCUGUUUUAAAUAUGCCAGGUCUGCUUGAGCUUCAUGCCGUCAGUUCAUCUGUUAAAGGCACUGCAGGAAGACGCCCAUACUACUCACAAUCGUGCAGUUGUUUUAGAAAUAGGUGAUGAUGUGCAGGCUACAUGAUUUGCGCAGCUGUUCUGUUCCAGUUGUGAGAGUAUACGAAUUUAUUUUUCGGUAUUUUUGGUUACCAUAUGAUAUGAAUUCCUCAAAUGAUGCCAAUGUUUCGUUCUUUGUACUAAACUUUGGUCCCUGUACUGUAUUUUUCUUCAGUGACGUAAUUAACCUUCAUUUUUUUGGUUCACGUCCAUGUGCUUGAAAAUCGGAACCAGCAUUUACUGAGGGACACAUGUGAGCCAUAAGAAUUCAGAACCGAAAGAAUAUGAUUGCACUGCUUGAGAAGAUGCCUAGGAUUUUUUGCUGCAGCAGCCAUUGUUCCCGUUCCUGUUAUGGAUCAGGUUCCAGGAGCCAUGACACAUUGGAAAUUUGAAGAACUUUGUGAAGAUUUAUGGGAGAAAACUCAAGCAUUUUACUUUAGGUUUUAAUCACUUAUGUCAUUUUGAUCAAAUAUGGCUGCAUUAUGUAAUACAUAAUGGUGACAGUAAGUCGUCACUCCUGAUGUUACCCUGAGCUGCCAUGAUUGGUUUUUUACCCGUUCUGAUCUGAGCUGAUGAUGUCCAAUGCUUAGUGUGUACAGUUCCAAGAAAUUAUAUCGUUCUGAAAAAUAAAAAGAGCAUGUGAAAGCAUGAAUUCUAUUUUGUAUUGAAA
Molecule: long non-coding RNA, 1387 nt
Organism: Phragmites australis (common reed)
Lineage: Eukaryota; Viridiplantae; Streptophyta; Magnoliopsida; Poales; Poaceae
Exons: 2
Source: RefSeq, a predicted model, not a curated record